CUACGGGGUGCAGCAGUGAGGAAUUUUGCGCAAUGGGGGAAACCCUGACGCAGCAACGCCGCGUGAGUGAUGAAGGCCUUCGGGUCGUAAAGCUCUGUCAAGUGGGAAGAACCUAUCGAUAUUGAAUAUAUAUUGAUACUGACGGUACCACAAGAGGAAGCACCGGCUAACUCCGUGCCAGCAGCCGCGGUAAUACGGGGGGUGCAAGCGUUAUUCGGAAUCAUUGGGCGUAAAGGGCGCGCAGGCGGCCUUGUAAGUCAGAUGUGAAAGCCCGGGGCUCAACCCCGGAAGCGCAUUUGAAACUAUGAGGCUUGAGUAUGGGAGAGGGAAGUGGAAUUCCUGGUGUAGCGGUGAAAUGCGUAGAUAUCAGGAGGAACACCGGUGGCGAAGGCGACUUCCUGGACCAAUACUGACGCUGAGGCGCGAAGGCGUGGGGAGCAAACAGGAUUAGAUACCCUCGUAGUC
Molecule: ribosomal RNA, 465 nt
Filed under: uncultured bacterium
Lineage: Bacteria
Description: partial 16S ribosomal RNA
Rfam family: Bacterial small subunit ribosomal RNA
Source: RNAcentral